RNAcentral lists this long non-coding RNA (2055 nucleotides) under Eufriesea mexicana. RNAcentral's name for it is "uncharacterized LOC108547407, transcript variant X1". The record is from RNAcentral. Lineage: Eukaryota; Metazoa; Arthropoda; Insecta; Hymenoptera; Apidae.
GUGCAGAUGGCGCUGCUGUCGCUAGAGUAGGGAAUAUGGCGAAGUGUUUUGACAAAUUGGGUAAUAUGAUUGACAAAAAGAAACGAUUACUAGGUUUACGCUAUUAGGAAAAUUGUUGAAGAUUCGAAAAAUGAAUUAUAAGAGCCAUUUCGUCCGUACGCGACGAAGAAUAACACGCAACCGAGACGAAAACAUUGGCGAAAAUUAACGACGAACCUGACCUGUGAUGUUUAUGUUAAAAACUACGACUAACGGCUCUCGCUGUAAUGUUUAUGAUCGGAUCUACGACUCACGGCUUUCGCCCGUAAUACUGGUGUUUGGCUCGAUCUCCUUACCACGAGUCUCACAGAAUAUUGUAGGCGAAGAGGAUUCAAAAUGACUUCGAAUAUUCGAUAUGAGUCUGCAACCAUUAAAAAGAAUUCUUAAAAUAAAAAGGUAUCAACUACAACGAUGAAUAUAAAAUCAUUUUUUACUAAGAUAUUCGUGGCAUUGAAACUGAUAAAUAAACGUAUUAUGCUGGAUAUAUAUUAGCUCGUAAAGGAACAAACUACCCAUUUGUCCCGCCGUUGCUCAGCCUAGUUAUUUAUGGGUAGACAAGUUGCGAAUUCAAAUUAGGUCUGAAACUCGCUUCGCCUGUCUCAAUAGGGAUCGACGCGUCAUAAACCCUCGAGAACAUCCAGAACUUUGAAAACACGAAUCGGUUUUCCAAAUUAACACACGGACAACCUACUUGUAUAACUCGUAUGGGACGUGGAAGACUCAGGGAAUCGCUCGAAAAUACUUCUUGCUGUUUCACACCCUCAUCUACAUUUAUAACCCCUUAAGAACUGAAUGAAGGCAAAAGGCAAUUCAGUAGACAAAAAAGGAAGUGGAAGAAGCGGUACUUUUUAGCUAUACGAACUCUGAACUUGCUAGUUUUGAAACUUUUGGACUUGUGAACUUCGAGUUCAGUAGCUCUGAAACUCAAGAACUUAGCAUACUGAAUUUAGUACGUUUCACUAAGUUUUAAGCGCAUGUAAGUUAGCGUUUGAAUUUAUUAGGCGAGGAUUUUAGACGCUUUCAUUUUGAAACGAGCCGCAGGAAGAUUGUGAAAGAGGAAUGCUCUAAAUUAAAGUUAAUAGCCAUUAGAGUUACACUCUUUUAAAGAGCAAAGGAGUUAUGAGAUAAGUGUAAAAUGCAGGAAUGGGUAGGAAGAAUAAUUGGAAGAACACAUGAGAACAGUACGUGCAACUGCACUUUCCUUAUGUCUCAUUUUAGUUGCUGGACAAGUAGAAUUACAAGAAAAUGGAAUUUCCACGGCUUUCUGCCCUUUUUAGUAUCCGUUAAAAAAAUUCUCCAUUAAGAAAAAGUCUUUUCAAUAAAAAUUCACAAAUUAAUUUUGAAAAGGAUGACCAAGAUCAAAAUAGAAUAUUUAAUCCUGAGUCAAUGAAUAAAUUCGAAACAGAGUAAGAUUUAUUACAUCAUUUAUGAAACUCAUUUAUAUCCGAUGAUCAUCCACGUCUGAACCAACACGAAGGUCAGUCUCAUGAUUUGCAGUAUCAAAAUAGGUAGCAACGAUUCGAAGUGGCCGAUCAAUCAUGCAAUUUAAGCACUCGACCAAACUGCAACGAUCGCUUAAUCGGAAACACUUGGACGGUGUAAUAAAGCUCGCUAAAGGUGUCCAUGGCUGCUGACUUCUCCCAACCUAAAUACCAGACCACUUUGUUUUUCCUCGUGAACUGCGUUCUCUACAGUUCCUAUGAGUCAGCUCAUUCCAUGGCUCGUUAAAUCCCGACCCAGCCCAAGCCAUAAGUGGAGGCUUUGGAUUGUUUCCUCUAGAACCUGUCUUCUCUGAAAGAAUUUUGACACAAUUGCCUUGGAACUUGCGCUUGAUCCAUCAUCUGUGAUCUACGGCCUAUAGUGGCGGCGUUAUCUCGUCUAAGACGGAAGUAACUUAACCUGGAAGAUCGUUUUUAAAUUUCAUAAUUAAGCAGGAUAAGAAUGAUCGCAUGACGUUCCUAUCUGACUAGUCUAUAGUAUCUUUUUAUAAACUGCUAUACAUAUUUUGCUUUUUAA